CCAAACCGUUAGGCUACGUGCCUUCAGAUGUCAGCGAUCCAGACCCUGUGACUCCAAACUGCCUUUUGAUGGGGCGGCCGGAUGGAUCACUGCCACAAGUGGUCUACGCCAAGGAAGAGCUCCUGAGUCGCAGGAGGGCCUAGCAUACACAGGUGCUUGCCGACCACUUCUGGUCUCGCUUCAUUCACCUUUACCUGCCUGGCCUGCAGUCCCGCCAGAAAUGGCAGACACCUUCAGUAGAUGUCACAGAGAGCUCUGUGGCAAUCAUUGUGGACCCGCAGCUGCCUAGGGCAUCUUGGCCGAUUGGUCGGAUAUCCAAGGUGCAUCCCAGUCCUGAUGGACUAAUCAGGUCAGCAGACAGAGAGCAUGCGGUGCCAAUUUUACCAGCCGUUCCGGCUGACAAUUAAACGGUCACCUCAAGUUGUUGUUUAAGUUAACGGUGGCUUUUGUUAUGAGCAAAUGUAUUAGAUACAUUUGGGGGCGGCUGUACAAAAGGUUCUGUGAGACGGUGUGGUUGACAGCGGAAUUCCCACGUUCCUUGAAGGGGUCUCGAAUCGCGGAACAGCACGAAAGCAGAGAGGACUUUGCCAGCUAACUUCGACUCGUUAAUAGACAGUUUUACAGUGUCGAGGGUGUGCGUGUGUGCACAUAGUAAGUGCGAGUUGUAACCACUUCAACAGCCUCACAUUCGACUUCAGAGUCAGAUUUUGGAUCAAAUGUAUGGUUGAACUCCACUACGAGGACGAGGCUGCAGCUGCCAGUUCAUCAUCAUCAUCUCCAUCACCACCUGGCCAUAAAGAGGGUCUGAAACUGGAAGUCCUUUUCUUCUCCUGCCACACAACGAACGUUCUCCACAAGUGUGUCCAUACUGGGCAAACAGCAACACCAGGCUUCCCAGACACUGCUGACGUGACGGUGCAGGGACUCCCUCUGCUUGGAGGAUCUUCUUUGCAUGGUCCAGUGCAAUGAGUGGGUUUAGGAGCUCCAGCGGAGGUUUGGGGAAGACCAUUUUCUUCUCCCAGUAAAGACAUGCCUCUUUAGUCGACACCAGUACAUUGUGUAGCAUUUACACUAGUGCUUGAUCUUUAUGCAUACUCAUUAAAAAAAAUUAUG
Molecule: long non-coding RNA, 1113 nt
Organism: Betta splendens (Siamese fighting fish)
Lineage: Eukaryota; Metazoa; Chordata; Actinopteri; Anabantiformes; Osphronemidae
Exons: 3
Source: RefSeq, a predicted model, not a curated record